Molecule: ribosomal RNA, 497 nt
Filed under: uncultured bacterium
Lineage: Bacteria
Description: partial 16S ribosomal RNA
Rfam family: Bacterial small subunit ribosomal RNA
Source: RNAcentral
GACGAACGCUGGCGGCGUGCCUAAUACAUGCAAGUCGAGCGAUGAAGCUUGGUGCUUGCACCAAUUUGAAGAGCAGCGGACGGGUGAGUAACGCGUGGGGAAUCUGCUUUUGAGCGGGGGACAACAUUUGGAAACGAAUGCUAAUACCGCAUAACAACUUUAAACAUAAGAUUCAAGUUUGAAAGAUGCAAUUGCAUCACUCAAAGAUGAUCCUGCGUUGUAUUAGCUAGUUGGUGAGGUAAAGGCUCACCAAGGCGAAGAUACAUAGCCUAGCUGAAAGGGAGAACGGCCAACAUGGGACUUGAGCAAGGCCCAAACUCCUACGGGGGGCAACCGGAGGGGAACAUCGGCAAUUGGCGAAAGUCUUGCCGAGCAACUCCGGGGGAGGGGAGGAGGGUCUCGGAUCGGAAAACUCUGUUGGUAGAGAAGAAAGUUGAUGAGGGUAGAAAGCUCAUCUUGUGACGGUAACUACACAAUAAGGAACGGCUAACUACGUG